UGGGGAAUAUUGCACAAUGGGGGAAACCCUGAUGCAGCGACGCCGCGUGAGCGAAGAAGGUUUUCGAAUCGUAAAGCUCUGUCCUAUGAGAAGAUAAUGACGGUAUCAUAGGAGGAAGCCCCGGCUAAAUACGUGCCAGCAGCCGCGGUAAUACGUAUGGGGCGAGCGUUGUCCGGAAUUAUUGGGCGUAAAGGGUACGUAGGCGGUCUAUUAAGUCAGGUGUGAAAGCGUGAGGCUUAACCUCAUUAAGCACUUGAAACUGAUAGACUUGAGUGCAGGAGAGAAAAGUGGAAUUCCUAGUGUAGCGGUGAAGUGCGUAGAUAUUAGGAGGAAUACCGGUGGCGAAGGCGACUUUCUGGACUUUUACUGACGCUCAGGUACGAAAGCGUGGGGAGCAAACAGG
RNAcentral lists this ribosomal RNA (403 nucleotides) under Verrucomicrobiota bacterium. Its description in RNAcentral is "Verrucomicrobia bacterium partial 16S ribosomal RNA". It matches the Rfam family "Bacterial small subunit ribosomal RNA", at positions 355 to 776 of the family's 1533-position model. The record is from RNAcentral. Lineage: Bacteria; Pseudomonadati; Verrucomicrobiota.